AACGAACGCUGGCGGCGCGCCUAAUACAUGCAAGUCGAGCGAGAAGGUGUAGCAAUACACUUGUAAAGCGGCGAACGGGUGAGGAAUACAUGGGUAAUCUACCAUCGAGUGGGGAAUAACCAGCCGAAAGGUUGGCUAAUACCGCGUACGCCUCCGGAUCUUCGGGUUCGGAGGGAAAGCCACACUGUGAGUGCGGCGCUCUUUGAUGAGCUCAUGUCCUAUCAGCUUGUUGGUAGGGUAACGGCCUACCAAGGCUUUGACGGGUAGCUGGUCUGAGAGGACGAUCAGCCACACUGGCACUGCGACACGGGCCAGACUCCUACGGGAGGCAGCAGUAAGGAAUAUUGCGCAAUGGGCGAAAGCCUGACGCAGCGACGCCGCGUGGGGGAUGAAGGUCUUCGGAUUGUAAACCCCUUUCGGGAGGGAAGAUGGAGCGAGCAAUCGUUCGGACGGUACCUCCAGAAGCAGCCACGGCCAACUUCGUGCCAGCAGCCGACGG
RNAcentral lists this ribosomal RNA (499 nucleotides) under uncultured bacterium. RNAcentral's name for it is "bacterial SSU rRNA". It matches the Rfam family "Bacterial small subunit ribosomal RNA", at positions 29 to 520 of the family's 1533-position model. The record is from RNAcentral.